Molecule: ribosomal RNA, 429 nt
Filed under: Bacteroidota bacterium
Lineage: Bacteria; Pseudomonadati; Bacteroidota
Description: Bacteroidetes bacterium partial 16S ribosomal RNA
Rfam family: Bacterial small subunit ribosomal RNA
Source: RNAcentral
UAGGGAAUCUUCGGCAAUGGGGGGAACCCUGACCGAGCAACGCCGCGUGAGUGAAGAAGGUUUUCGGAUCGUAAAGCUCUGUUGUUAAGGAAGAACGAGUGUGAGAAUGGAAAGUUCAUACUGUGACGGUACUUAACCAGAAAGGGACGGCUAACUACGUGCCAGCAGCCGCGGUAAUACGUAGUUCCCGAGCGUUGUCCGGAUUUAUUGGGCGUAAAGCGAGCGCAGGCGGUUAGAAAAGUCUGAAGUGAAAGGCAGUGGCUCAACCAUUGUAGGCUUUGGAAACUGUUUAACUUGAGUGCAGAAGGGGAGAGUGGAAUUCCAUGUGUAGCGGUGAAAUGCGUAGAUAUAUGGAGGAACACCGGUGGCGAAAGCGGCUCUCUGGUCUGUAACUGACGCUGAGGCUCGAAAGCGUGGGGAGCGAACAGG